Passer domesticus (house sparrow) is the source of this 1096-nucleotide long non-coding RNA. RefSeq lists it as uncharacterized. Lineage: Eukaryota; Metazoa; Chordata; Aves; Passeriformes; Passeridae. The record is from RefSeq and is a predicted model, not a curated record. The transcript is spliced from 3 exons.
CUGGGCUCCAUUCCCCUGCACCUUUUAGGUUAAAAAAAAGACAAAUGUUGGAGUUCUAGAAUGCCAACACUUGUGUAGAGGACUACCAUGUCCAAAAAGAUGUGAAGAGAGCUGGGGAGGCUGAAGCAGUAGUGUCCCUUGGAUUUCAAUGAAGGAUAGCCCCAGCUACUCCGAGAUGAAGAGCAGGUGCCAGUAGCUCCACAAAAAGCUGUCCCACAUUCAGCAAUGAAUAUCUGAAUUUGGCAAGCAGCAAGUCCUGGAGUCCUGGCACCAGUCUUCUGCUUCAGCAAAGGAACAUCUAUGAGCUCCAGCUGUUUUAUUUUGAAAGAAAAUUAUGUUUUUAGGUUUCCUCAAGUUAGUAAUAAGGAGAUGAUUAUUUGUUAAAAAUGUAGGAUUAAUUAGUCUAAGAUUAGAGAAUUUAGUCUUGAACUUUAGCAGUAAAGAAGUUGCAUUACUGUUAACUCCUUCUCUUAUCAUCAGUUUUAUCAUAUUUGGAGAAUCUUUCUUCUGGUCAGAUAUUCUCUUCAAGACUUAGCUCUGAAUGAGACUGAAUGAAUGAAACUGAAUGAAUGAAACUGAAUGAAUGAAACUGAAUGAAACUUAUCAGUAGAGAAUGGAAGCCCAGUACCUCUAUUAUGAAAUUGUGCACAAUUUAAGAAAAUAUUGUAGCGAAUGGAAAUUCUUUAUGAUAAGAAUAAGCCUGUUUUCUGAUUUUCUUUUGAAUUUAAGGUCUUUGCCUUAAGGGGUGGAAGGCAUAGAGGACAACCUCCACCCCAAAUGACCUUGUUGUGGAGGGUUGCAGAGGAGUGCACAUGGGCUGCUCUAAGCUGUCAGCUGAAGCAGCUCUCAGGACUGCUUGGAGAUCAUGGCCUCACCUUGUCAUGAGCCAGGGAAGAUCCAGAUCUCUGUAAGAGUUUUGUAAAAGACAUGGAGAAGUGUUGGAGGCAAGGACACUUGCACCAGAUGACCUUUACAGGGCCCUGCCAGCCCAGCCCAGUCUAGGACUCCUCACCAUUUUCAUUUCAAGAGCACCAAGAGUGGAGGUGAGGAGGAAGGGGGCUCAUCUGAUGCCUUGGACUUCCAUGGAGGAGGAGCC